Molecule: ribosomal RNA, 465 nt
Filed under: uncultured bacterium
Lineage: Bacteria
Description: bacterial SSU rRNA
Rfam family: Bacterial small subunit ribosomal RNA
Source: RNAcentral
CGGCAGGCCUAACACAUGCAAGUCGAGGGGUAACAGAGAGAAGCUUGCUUUUCUGCUGACGACCGGCGCACGGGUGAGUAACGCGUAUACAAUCUGCCUUAUACAGAGGGAUAGCCUUUAGAAAUGAAGAUUAAUACCUUAUAGUCUAUUUUUAUAGCAUUAUAUAAAUAGUAAAGCUUCGGUGGUAUAAGAUGAGUAUGCGUCCUAUUAGUUAGUUGGUAAGGUAACGGCUUACCAAGACAACGAUAGGUAGGGGCCCUGAGAGGGGGAUCCCCCACACUGGUACUGAGACACGGACCAGACUCCUACGGGGGGCAGCAGUGAGGAAUAUUGGACAAUGGAGGCAACUCUGAUCCAGCCAUGCCGCGUGCAGGAAGACGGCCCUAUGGGUUGUAAACUGCUUUUAUAUAGGAAGAAACCUUUUCACGUGUGAGAAGCUGACGGUACUAUAAGAAUAAGGACCGG